GUAAGUUCUAAGAAGCUCCUUGAAAAGCAAUAUGAUUUAAUGUGGGGACAAAUCAAAUCCAAAUCAAGUUGUCAUAUGGUACGCCUGUAUAGAGAUGGGCAAGUCCUGAUCUAGAUGAGUCAUGUAUUAUGGAUAAAUCUCUUGAUCCAUGACACUUUUAGAGGUCAUAUCCUUAUUUUAUAUGGGUAACUAUCCGUAUUUCAAAUUUAUUUGUUGCUAAUCAUUUGGUAUCCUUAUUUGUUAUGGUAAGUCAUUAGUUUUACAGGGGCAAUAGAGACAGAUUAAUUAAAGUGUAAGAUGGAUUCAAGAUCAUUUAUUCGGGUCGAAGAUCAGUCAUUCUGGUUGUAAGUCGAUGAAGUAGGAAUUUAUUGUUUGAAAGUCAACUAACCAGCUUAUGCCUUCAAUUCAUUUUGGACCAUGUAAAGGGAUAUUUAGAAUUAUAUGCAAAGACAAAAGUAUAUUUUGCAACCGCUGUACUAUGCGUGUGCUGCUGAGUUUUUUUUAUCAAGCUGGAUGAUGAUGUCAAUGUGAAGAUAGAUGCAUAUAUUUCCAUGCUAUUCUGGCCAUAGCACUCUGAGUUUGUUAGGAUCGCGGCAAAUAAGUUUGGAGCCAAAAUAUACCAUUUAGUGUCGUUGGGGAAGAUAAUGCUGGUGAAGUAUGGUUCAUCUCUAUUAUUUCUAUUUCGAAAGAUUCAUGUAUGUACUAAUGACAAGCUACAUCCCCACUUUUAUGAAAUAGCGGAUGCCUUUAGCAGUCAUGUGAGUUAUAUUUGUUCAUA
Long non-coding RNA from Erigeron canadensis, 778 nucleotides. RefSeq lists it as uncharacterized. The record is from RefSeq and is a predicted model, not a curated record. The transcript has 4 exons. Lineage: Eukaryota; Viridiplantae; Streptophyta; Magnoliopsida; Asterales; Asteraceae.